GAAUGCUGACAUAAGUAACGAUAAAGCGGGUGAAAAGCCCGCUCGCCGGAAGACCAAGGGUUCCUGUCCAACGUUAAUCGGGGCAGGGUGAGUCGACCCCUAAGGCGAGGCCGAAAGGCGUAGUCGAUGGGAAACAGGUUAAUAUUCCUGUACUUGGUGUUACUGCGAAGGGGGGACGGAGAAGGCUAUGUCGGCCGGGCGACGGUUGUCCCGGUUUAAGCGUGUAGGUGUGUGCUCCAGGCAAAUCCGGUGCACUUUAACACUGAGGCGUGAUGACGAGGCACUACGGUGCUGAAGUGACAAAUGCCCUGCUUCCAGGAAAA
RNAcentral lists this ribosomal RNA (323 nucleotides) under Citrobacter koseri. RNAcentral describes it as "partial 23S ribosomal RNA". It matches the Rfam family "Bacterial large subunit ribosomal RNA", at positions 1292 to 1616 of the family's 2925-position model. Lineage: Bacteria; Pseudomonadati; Pseudomonadota; Gammaproteobacteria; Enterobacterales; Enterobacteriaceae. The record is from RNAcentral.